Molecule: long non-coding RNA, 1786 nt
Filed under: Salmo salar (Atlantic salmon)
Lineage: Eukaryota; Metazoa; Chordata; Actinopteri; Salmoniformes; Salmonidae
Description: lncRNA (ENSSSAG00000087901.1, ENSSSAG00000102438.1)
Source: RNAcentral
GUAAAAACAUCUAGACAUUAUCUCCCAUUAUGUAAUCCAAGGUGGCAUAGCAGUGCAGAUGUAGUUUGUUUUCCUCUCAUUUACUUUUUGUAUUUUUCAGAUUUUUUGUAUAUAUUCCAAUUAAUUUUUCAAUAUCUUUUUCCAUUUUUAAAUUAAAUAUACCAUCCGGUAACCCGCCUCACUCAAUGUGACACGGAUCCACUAUUCUUUUAGACCCUACAGCCAAAACUUUCAUCAGAAGGUAGCCAGCAAAUUAGCUAAGUUACUCGCUAUUUAGUCAUUGUUAGCCACUGCCAGCGGCCUUUACCCUCUGCUCAGGCACCAGCCGUUUUUUUUAGCCUGGAUAAUACCUGCCAGACUCGGACUGUUUUCCUCCACUACAACACCAGAUUCCUGCCGUAAACCCUGGACCAUUGAUCAUCACAGCUAGCUAGCUGCCACUGAGUGACCCAGCCUCGAAGCUUGCACUGAGCCAGGUGCAUCUCCCGGCUAGCAAAUGAAAUUACCACAACUACAAUACCUCUUUCGCCAUCUGGCCCGGUCCCUUCAUCGACAUGGCGCCCCGCCGUACCACCACGACUGGUCCGCAGACGUAAUUCCAUCAGCUGUGCCUCCAAUCGGCCUUUACCGGACGACAGAGCAGACGCUUCUACUUACUCCGGACUGCUAACUUUAAACGCCGUGUCUCCCGCGUGCUAGCGUAGUAACGAAUACCUAGCGGCUUCCCUGUUUCAUCUAUUGCUGUACACUGGACCCUAUGAUCACUUGGCUACAUAGCUGAUGCCUGCUGGACUGUUCAUUUAUCACGGGGAGCCAGCCUUGUAUGUGGAUGAAGGCUCUGAGUGGACACAGGGAGCCGCACUAAACCCAAUACCAUCCUCUCCAUCUGUCUGCAGCAUGGGUGAGGUCAUGGAACCUUUACACUCUGCUCUGGCGUUCUCACUCGAUGAUGGUGGCUGCUGGUGUUCCUAUCCUGGGAGGUUACAGAGGCAUGGCAGGGGCCUGCAGAGGUCGGGCCAAAGGCCCAUUACUUCACGAGUGCAGCACAGGUAACCUUUGCUGCCUUGCCUACAGAAUGGUGCCAACAUGGGAAGUGGUUGCUUGAGGGAUGGGCCCAAAAAAGUGAGGUCAAGCUGCUUCAGCACUUAAUUAAAUCAGAAUGUUAGGUGUAAUGUAUUGCAUGAUGACCUAUAUAGUCAACAAGCUAGCCAUAUUUAAAAAACUAAAGAACUUGGUGGCAUAAUGAAAUCUAAUGAUGACUCUCACUCAAGCAAGGAAUUACAAGCUUGUCUUUAGUAUGCUAGUGGGCCCUUGCUUAGGCCCUCAGUAGGAGGUCACAGUCAAGGGCAAACCUCAUAUUUAGCUACUGUUAGGAUAGCUUACUGUCACACCCUGACCUGUUUCACCGGUCUUGUGCUUGUCUCCACCUCCCUCCAGGUGUCUCCCAUUUUCCCCAUUAUCCCCUGUGCAUUUAUACCUGCGUUUUCUGUUUGUCUGUUGCCAGUUUGUCUUGUCUCGUCAAGCCUACCAGUGUGUUGUUCCAUACUCCUAUUUCUCUAGUUCCCGUUUUCCAGUCUUCCCAGUUCCAACCUUUUCUGCCUGCCCCCGAGCCUGCCUGCCUGCCGUCCUGUACCUAUCUGACUGAGCUGGUUACGAACUUCUGCCGGCCCUGACCCUGAGACUGCCUGCCGCCCUGUACCUGUCAAAGUUGGACCUGGUUACGAACCUCUGCCUGUCCUCGACCUUCCCUUUGCCUGCCUCCUGUGGAUUAAUAAACGAGUCUGUG